This 427-nucleotide RNase P RNA is filed under the name Sulfitobacter undariae. Its description in RNAcentral is "Bacterial RNase P class A". It matches the Rfam family "Bacterial RNase P class A". From Rfam's summary of the family: Ribonuclease P (RNase P) is a ubiquitous endoribonuclease, found in archaea, bacteria and eukarya as well as chloroplasts and mitochondria. Its best characterised activity is the generation of mature 5'-ends of tRNAs by cleaving the 5'-leader elements of precursor-tRNAs. The record is from Rfam by way of RNAcentral. Lineage: Bacteria; Pseudomonadati; Pseudomonadota; Alphaproteobacteria; Rhodobacterales; Roseobacteraceae.
GCGGAAGGCUGGGUGACCGCUUUGAUGUUGUAAGGCAUCGGGGAGGAAAGUCCGGACUCCGGAAAGAAAUGGUGCCGGGUAACGCCCGGGCGGGGUAACCCGACGGAAAGCGCCACAGAAAAUAGACCGCCUGUCACUCCAAGGCUUGCUUUGGGUCAGUGUCAGGUAAGGGUGAAACGGUGGGGUAAGAGCCCACCGCGCGGCUGGCAACAGCGGCGGCAUGGCAAGCCCCACUGGGAGCAACGCCAAAUAGGGACCGCGUGCUUCCACGCCUUCGGGUAUGGCGGCGGAGCUUCUUUCGCUCCAGCAGGUCCGGGUUGGCGGCUGUAGCUGUGUCGGUAACGGCAUGGUCAGAGGAAUGGUCAUCCAAGAUGGCCGCGCAAGCGGUUCAUCUGGACAAAAUCCGGCUUAUAGGCCCUCCGCGCAA